Non-coding RNA from Gasterosteus aculeatus aculeatus (three-spined stickleback), 562 nucleotides. Lineage: Eukaryota; Metazoa; Chordata; Actinopteri; Perciformes; Gasterosteidae. The record is from RefSeq and is a predicted model, not a curated record.
UGAGUCUGCAUGCAUCCUAUACCUUUUUGAUAGCAUCGUUGGUACGUAUUGAUUUGUUUUAUUGUUCAUUAUCAUCUCAGGUGAUUAUUUUUGUGACAAUGUUUAGUUUGGAUAUUUUUGUGCACAUGGCCUAUUGAGUCAUUCGGGUUGGUAACUGCACUGCUAUGGUUGUCAUUAAAGUCCAUAUGACUUAAUAAACAACAAAGUAAAUAAGCAUAAAUAUAUAAAGUAGCGGUCGAAGAAAAUGCACUUCAUUUGUAUUUAUUAUGUCUUUUGUGUGUUUUAGUUUUACUCUUUCUCAUGUCAAUAAACCUGUGGACAACGGACCAUUGUCUUCAGAGUCGUGAUGUCAGAAAAGAGUUCGUCUAACUGCCAAGGUGUAUCGGAGCGCAUAUACCGAGGGCGGCAUAGUAAAACAACGCUUUCUACCGGGCAAGACAACGCAGCCAACUGACAGAUGCUACUAACAACGUCAUCACACGCAACCAGUGGAUGACCAUCACAGCGGUGUCUAAACAGAGUUUUACUCUUUCUCAUGUCAAUAAACCUGUGGACAACGGAC